Molecule: long non-coding RNA, 745 nt
Organism: Sciurus carolinensis (gray squirrel)
Lineage: Eukaryota; Metazoa; Chordata; Mammalia; Rodentia; Sciuridae
Exons: 3
Source: RefSeq, a predicted model, not a curated record
GGCAGCUAGCCAUGCCUGUAACUGGAGGAUAGGAAGCAUUUCAGGCAGUAAACUGCAAAUACACAGCCUUGAGUCUUGCUGGUGGUGUUUUCAUCUCUGAUAUUUGUAUUGAAGAUCUUGCUUAAAAUCUGGUGAUGCCUGGCUCUUCGUGAAAGUUUGGAAAGGUAGCAACAAAAAGUUGAAUGGGAGCUGUGGGUUUAUGGGUUGCCAGAGAAGAACAAUGACCAGAGUCUUUUAUUGCAUGGCAAAACCAGGAUACAACUUUCUUGGCCUUUUUGCCCACCUUUAUGUAGGAGUGCCAAGCUACCGAGGGUCUAGACAUUCAGAAAAGACAGGAUACUCUCUUUCCUUUUUUCACGAAGAAUGGCAAGAUGCUAAGAACUUAGAGGGGAAGAAAGAGGCUGCUUGAGUCUAUGACUGACAGCAUAAUCUAGCCUAACAAGAGUGGUUCAUUCUUCUGGGACCAGAGUAAGAACUGCAAGAGAUUCAAAGGGGAUUGUACCAAUAACAUAAAGAGGAAAAGAAAUGGAAUUGAUAUGAAAAAUACUUGGAUCUGGAUCCUGAAAAGAGAAGGGAAAGACACCAGAGCAGCUGGAAAAAUCUAAGGAAAUUAGAUAUUUCGGAAAGAUAUGGACAGUUCGUUGAGAUCUGGCACAAUGAUUGUCCAUAAGAGUCAUGCAAAUGUUCAACAACCCAUGCCCCAUGGCUCUGCUCUGUCAUUUGUGGAAGGCUUCCAGGGAAAAGA